GUCAGUUUGGCCGAGUGGUCUAAGGCGCCAGACUUGAAACUAUAUAAAAGUUAUCUGGUGGGAUUUUCCCGCGUAGGUUCAAAUCCUGCAGCUGACG
Molecule: non-coding RNA, 97 nt
Organism: Coemansia sp. RSA 2705
Lineage: Eukaryota; Fungi; Kickxellomycota; Kickxellomycetes; Kickxellales; Kickxellaceae
Source: the annotation of a GenBank genome assembly